CCGCAAGGUUAAAACUCAAAUGAAUUGACGGGGACCCGCACAAGCGGUGGAGCAUGUGGUUUAAUUCGAAGAUACGCGCAGAACCUUACCAACCCUUGACAUGUCUGUCGCGAGUUUAGGAAACUAGACUUUUCGGUUCGGCCGGACAGAACACAGGUGCUGCAUGGCUGUCGUCAGCUUGUGUCGUGAGAUGUUGGGUUAAGUCCCGCAACGAGCGCAACCCCUACUUUUAGUUGCCAUCAGGUCAUGCUGGGCACUCUGAAAGAACUGCCAGUGAUAAGCUGGAGGAAGGUGGGGAUGACGUCAAGUCCUCAUGGCCCUUACGGGUUGGGCUACACACGUGCUACAAUGGUAGUGACAAUGAGAUGCAAGGUGGCGACGCUAAGCUAAACUCAAAAAUCUACCUCAGUUCGGAUUGCACUCUGCAACUCGAGUGCAUGAAGCUGGAAUCGCUAGUAAUCGUAGAUCAGCGUGCUACGGUGAAUACGUUCCCGGGUCUUGUACACACCGCCCGUCACACCAUGGAAGUUGGUUCUACCUUAAAGCAGAUUGCUAACCGCAAGGAGGCGUUUGACCAAGGUAUAGUCAGCGACUGGGGUG
This 600-nucleotide ribosomal RNA is filed under the name uncultured bacterium. Its description in RNAcentral is "bacterial SSU rRNA". It matches the Rfam family "Bacterial small subunit ribosomal RNA", at positions 886 to 1482 of the family's 1533-position model. The record is from RNAcentral.